This 580-nucleotide long non-coding RNA is filed under the name Pongo abelii (Sumatran orangutan). RNAcentral describes it as "lincRNA". Lineage: Eukaryota; Metazoa; Chordata; Mammalia; Primates; Hominidae. The record is from RNAcentral.
ACACACACACUCUCUCUCUUUCUCAUUCUCCUUUCCCUCCUCUCCAUCUCCCUAUUGCAUUGUGUCUGACUGAUUUUCAGAGCACCUUCGCUGUUUCCCCCUUCUCGUUCCCUUCCCAUAAAAUAUCUAGACAGGAAGGAGGUGGCUGCAGAGGCUGAACAAUCUCAUAUUCUGCCUGCAAUGUCAUCGUUUCUUUCCCCCAUUUUAGGGGGCUGAAGUUGCCCAGCAAGGGAUGCAGAGGAGCUGGAAAGGAAGGGGGGAGCUCUCCAGAGGCAGCUGCGGUCAGGGGCAGGGACUGCCGCCAGAUGUGCCUGCCUUUCUGGGCUUUGAUGAGAAAGGGGCAGCAGGAGGAAAUAUUGGGAGACAAAAGCCCCGGUUUAAAUGAUCAUUUUCUUUAUUUAACAUGGCAGCAGACACUCUCUGCGUAGGAUCAUCAUGCCGAGCAUAAACUGGACUUUCCCACUUGCCUGGCAGGAGUCACACAGAUCCCUGUGUGCUAAAUGAACAUCUGAGGUUUAAGAUGGGGCCCAAGAUGCUUUUCUGACAAAUUUCCUGGUGAUGCAAUGUUGCUGUUGGGGAA